Long non-coding RNA from Antechinus flavipes (yellow-footed antechinus), 743 nucleotides. RefSeq lists it as uncharacterized. The transcript is spliced from 3 exons. The record is from RefSeq and is a predicted model, not a curated record. NCBI's taxonomy places the organism in Eukaryota, Metazoa, Chordata, Mammalia, Dasyuromorphia, Dasyuridae.
AAAAUCUAGAAUUUGUCUGGAAUUUACAUAUCACAGGACCAGAAACCUUGAUGGCAGUGGCUGAGAUGACUUCACUUGUUUCAGUACAUAUUACUGAGAGGAUUAGCAAACAGGAGGGUCCUGAAGGUGGAGGAGAGAUUGGAGGGAGAAAUGAGAGGAAGGAUGAAGAAAGGGACAGCUAGCAGGGUUGAAGCCCGACUUUGUUGACUUCCCACUCUCCCCUGGGAUCAGCCUCUGUUUAUCUUCAACUGCGCCCUGGCAAAGGAAAGCUAUGGACCAAGGAACUGGUCAGCAACUACAACUCAAUGAAUAAACAAUUGCAAAAGCCCCAAGCAACAGGACUGUCAAUAUGGUCAUCAGUGAAGCGUGAAGAAUCUGAAUCUUGUUUUUCAUAAAUUACUUAAAUCAUUUUUGUUCUUUGAUAUAUUUGCUUCAUACUAAUUCAUACCAUCAUAUUCUCCCCAUGCAUGAUGCAUCUGUAAAUUGGAAAAACCGUUUUAUCUUGAAAGUAGGAUGUCACCGUAAACAAGUUAUCAUCAGUUAAAUUGAGCCACCUACUAUGCCAGUAAUUUCCUUAAUUUAUUUAGAAAAUGCAUUCAGCACAUAAAGAUCCCCAGGUUCAAAUACAAAGAAUUGAAAGAAGUGAAUAUUUAAAGCAAUGAUGGGACAAUUUCCCAGGAUACUGAGUCUUUCUGAGUCAUAUUAAUAAAGCUUUGCCUUAAUAAGACAAAUAAAUUAAAAGA